Myotis brandtii (Brandt's bat) is the source of this 948-nucleotide long non-coding RNA. RefSeq lists it as uncharacterized. The transcript is spliced from 2 exons. NCBI's taxonomy places the organism in Eukaryota, Metazoa, Chordata, Mammalia, Chiroptera, Vespertilionidae. The record is from RefSeq and is a predicted model, not a curated record.
UGUGCCCUGACAGGGAAUCCAACCAUGACCUCCUGGUUCAUAGGUUGAUGCUCAACCACUGAUUUACCCUGGCCAGGCUGUCACACUAUAUAUUGAAUAAUAUUUUAAAAAUUGUAUUCCAUAGGUAGUUUGGUUAUGAAAGAAGUCAUUGUACUUUUACUGUUCAUCUUAGGAUUCUAUACAUUCUACAUUGGAAAAACUGGGCUAUAAGUUUGAGUCUUUUGAUAAUGCACUCUAAAAAUCUAGUUUAUUUAGUUAUUUACCUGCUGAAAUUAGUACAAAAAUUAUAUCUGAAAGCAUCCUUUAAGAAUAAUUUUCCCCCAGCAAAACUAUAUAUAGCCUCAUUAAUAUUCUUCCUCUUUGCAGGAACAAAUCCAGACAAAAGAAUUUCACUAAUAUGAAGAGUAAUGGGAAGCCCAUGAACUGGAGAGACGAUCUGCUACUUAAAAAUGAGGGCUUUUUGCUUUCCUGGAAGGAACAUAGCAUCUCUGGGCGGUGCUGGGAUAUAAAACAAACAGAGAUGCCUUUUCUCUACAUGCUGGAAGCAGGCAUUCCUGUUGCCACGGAAACAUCCUGAGGCAGCAAGGGUCACCUUUGGAAACAAUUGAAAGACUUCAAAAGCAGAUCAAUAGAGACAUGCGGAGACCUGAACUUCCCAGCUAAUGUUGUUUCCUAUUUUAAAUGUCAUUUUUCAACAAACACUUGCUUAUGUGAAUACCAUGUACUGGGAAGUAGGAAGGCAAAAUUGAAAUGAUAAUAACUCUAGUCCAUACUGUCAAGCUCUGCUUUUAGAAGCCUGUGGUUUUUGGUAGAAAUGCUUUGAGAGGGAAAUGAGCAGGAAUAGCAGUCUGGAUGAUGGAAUGACAUUCAGGUUUAAAAGAAAAGCUGCAUUUAAGACUUCAUUUGCAGAAAAGUUUUCAAAAUAUACAGAUUCUUUACUCAUACAAA